GGAGUCUGGGCCGUGUCUCAGUCCCAAUGUGGCCGAUCAACCUCUCAGUUCGGCUACCGAUCGUAGGUUUGGUGGGCCGUUACCUCACCAACUGCCUAAUCGGACGCGAGGCCAUCCUUCAGCGAAUAAAUCCUUUGGUCGGAAUGUCAUGCGGCUCUCCGACAUUAUGCGGUAUUAGCAACCAUUUCUAGUUGUUGUUCCCCACUGAAGGGCAGGUUCCUCACGCGUUACUCACCCGUCCGCCACUAGGAUUCUGCCGAAACAAAAUCCCCGUUCGACUUGCAUGUGUUAGGCACGCCG
This 300-nucleotide ribosomal RNA is filed under the name uncultured Clostridium sp. Its description in RNAcentral is "partial 16S ribosomal RNA". Lineage: Bacteria; Bacillati; Bacillota; Clostridia; Eubacteriales; Clostridiaceae. The record is from RNAcentral.